This 498-nucleotide ribosomal RNA is filed under the name uncultured bacterium. RNAcentral describes it as "partial 16S ribosomal RNA". It matches the Rfam family "Bacterial small subunit ribosomal RNA", at positions 30 to 523 of the family's 1533-position model. The record is from RNAcentral.
AUUGAACGCUGGCGGCAUGCUUUACACAUGCAAGUCGAACGGUAACAGGCCGCAAGGUGCUGACGAGUGGCGAACGGGUGAGUAAUGCAUCGGAACGUGCCCAGUCGUGGGGGAUAACGCAGCGAAAGCUGUGCUAAUACCGCCUACGAUCUAUGGAUGAAAGCGGGGGACCGUAAGGCCUCGCGCGAUUGGAGCGGCCGAUGUCAGAUUAGGUAGUUGGUUGGGUACAGGCUCACCAAGCCAACGAUCUGUAGCUGGUCUGAGAGGACGACCAGCCACACUGGGACUGAGACACGGCCCAGACUCCUACGGGAGGCAGCAGUGGGGAAUUUUGGACAAUGGGCGCAAGCCUGAUCCAGCAAUGCCGCGUGCAGGAAGAAGGCCUUCGGGUUGUAAACUGCUUUUGUACGGAACGAAACGGCGAGCUCUAAUACAGUUUGCUAAUGACGGUACCGUAAGAAUAAGCACCGGCUAACUACGUGCCAGCAGCCGCCGUAA